This is a long non-coding RNA of Pistacia vera, 419 nucleotides long. RefSeq lists it as uncharacterized. Lineage: Eukaryota; Viridiplantae; Streptophyta; Magnoliopsida; Sapindales; Anacardiaceae. The record is from RefSeq and is a predicted model, not a curated record. The transcript has 4 exons.
CAGGAUGGCUUCAACAAGCUUCAUGGUUUGGAGAGUUCACUUGCUUCAUUCCUAUCAAACCAUUGCAAGAACUGAAAGUAGUUUUGAUAUUGCUGAGGAUGACGAGGGUACAACUAGUCCUAGUUGGAAGGUUACUGGUCAAUUAGAUAUUGAGCAACAGUUUCUUACAAAGACUUACCAGGGGCCUUGGACCAAGAAACUGGAAGGAGUGACGGUGAGAAUUCGGGAAAAACUAUCUCUUGACCACGUCAUGCCAUUUCUGAGGGAUUCUCUACAGCCAAAAAAAUAAUCCAAGUGGAACUACAGUGGCCCAUUGUUGUAUUGCCAAAGGAGAGAGGCAAAUCAUUUUCAGCAGAGGAUACAUCAGGAGCAGCGGUCCAACACAAGAGACGCGUUAAAGUUACUUAAGCAGAACUGAG